AUAUGUCGAAGUGAAGACAUGGUUGAGUUUCACGAAACAGUACAAUGAGAGCUGAUAACUAUCUCAAACAAAAAUGAAAGAAAUCCAACCCCAGAUUUGGCGCUUACCUUCCAAAAAAAAUAAUUCAAAAAGUAACAAUAGUCAAGAAAAUAAUCAGUGGAAAUAAUCCAGAAGUUUUAUAUUCACAUCUAAAAGUAUAAUAUUCGCAUGGCGAGAGGACCAAUCGGUUGGAAUCCAGAGCAAUAAAGGUCCACUAAUAAAGAAAUUCCGUCGCCAACAUUACACAGAGAUCUCCAAGUCCCGCGAUAUAGUGAACGAGAGAGCUGAAUACAAAACUAGCCCACCCCAACCCUCUUGUGCCCUUCCUUAAUGUAACAAAGACACCCCUCUUACGGUUCGAUGUGUUUGUUUUCUGUGUAUGUGUGUGUUUAGUUCUGUAUUAUGUUUGAUAUUUCGGGCCUUCAUCAAUAUUCUCAUGGACUACAUAUCAUAGAUUUUGGGAAAAUCAUAUCUAUGAUUUAUUCUACUUUACAAUAACUCACACUUACUUAUAACACUGUCACGGUUUAUUUUAUUCAGUUUCUAAUGUGUUAUAUUAAGAUAAAAAUAUAUGUACAAAAGACCUGAACUUAACGAAUAUGUAUAACAGAAAAUAUUAAGCAAUGAAAAACUUAUAAGAUUAACUUCCAAUAAGAAUAUUAAUCGAAAAACAAGUGACAAAGGAUUGUACAAAAAAAUGGCGGCCGCGUUAGCUGUUCUAUAGCACUAAUGGUAACUGAAAUUUGAUUUGUUAUUUUAGUAUAUAUUUUUUUUAUAUUUUAUGAGUGAUAGACGAAAUUUAAUAUUACAAGGUAAACUGUUUUCCGAAUGUAGCAAAAUAACUUUUGCCUGAUUUGAUGUAAUAUUUGAACAUAGUUCACCGUAUUUACACAAAAUUAAUAAAAUUAAAAACGACAAUAAAAUGGUAAAGUGUUAAAUUAUAAUAACAUUUUUAACGUUAGAAAAAAAAUCGUGUUAAAAAUUUAAUGAAAACAAAAAAUUUGAUUACUUCUUAAGUUCAAAGCUUUUAUUAUUAACCUGUGAUCGAAGGAAAUUAAUUGUGUUAAAAUAUUAUAAAAUAAGUUACAUUUUAACAAGUAAUGACUUUAUGUAUGAACUAAUGUUUUCAGAGCUUUUGAGUACUCCAUAGACCAAUUGUUUUGUAAUUAAUCGAGAUACAAAUUCGUAGGACAUAGAUUCUGUUGAAUGA
This is a long non-coding RNA of Danaus plexippus (monarch butterfly), 1249 nucleotides long. RefSeq lists it as uncharacterized. NCBI's taxonomy places the organism in Eukaryota, Metazoa, Arthropoda, Insecta, Lepidoptera, Nymphalidae. The transcript has 3 exons. The record is from RefSeq and is a predicted model, not a curated record.